This 216-nucleotide ribosomal RNA is filed under the name uncultured bacterium. RNAcentral's name for it is "partial 16S ribosomal RNA". It matches the Rfam family "Bacterial small subunit ribosomal RNA", at positions 1285 to 1500 of the family's 1533-position model. The record is from RNAcentral.
GUCCCAGUUCAGAUCGCAGUCUGCAACUCGACUGCGUGAAGUCGGAAUCGCUAGUAAUCGCGGAUCAGCAUGCCGCGGUGAAUACGUUCCCGGGCCUUGUACACACCGCCCGUCACACCAUGAGAGUCGGGAACACCCGAAGCCCGUAGCCUAACAGCAAUGAGGGCGCGGUCGAAGGUGGGUUCGAUAAUUGGGGUGAAGUCGUAACAAGGUAAC